RNAcentral lists this long non-coding RNA (3915 nucleotides) under Salmo salar (Atlantic salmon). Its description in RNAcentral is "lncRNA (ENSSSAG00000100026.1)". Lineage: Eukaryota; Metazoa; Chordata; Actinopteri; Salmoniformes; Salmonidae. The record is from RNAcentral.
GCCAUACAUACUGUAUACAUACUGAUCUCAGCCAACUGUCCUCCAUGCCGGCACCACGUUUCAAUGACAGUAUCAUUCCAAUGUGACGGACUGGAAACAUUUGGUGCAACACGGUGCUUAUUGAAAUUGUAAAUCUCAAACCACGUUAGUGGAACUCCUUAUCCUAUACAGUACUGCAUGUCUCUAUCCCAGUCAUCCCAACGUUAGUGGAACUCCUUAUCCUAUACAGUACUGCAUGUCUCUAUCCCAGUCAUCCCAACGUUAGUGGAACUCCUUAUCCUAUACAGUACUGCAUGUCUCUAUCCCAGUCAUCCCAACGUUAGUGGAACUCCUUAUCCUAUACAGUACUGCAUGUCUCUAGCCCAGUCAUCCCAACGUUUACCCCUUCCCAGCGCCCCAAGAUACACAACAGCAAAAUAAAAAAUACAAACACAACAAGGAAAUUCAGCUUCAAGUUUGUAAAAAUGCUUACAUCACAUUUCAUUCCGUCAGAGUUCAAGACAUCUGAAAAAUCCAUUCUCGACGCGUGAAAGUUCUAGAAUGUCUGUGACACGGGUCAAGACGUGCGACCUCUUUGACCCCUAUAGGUCAGACGUCAGCUCUGUAUCCGAUAGGCCAUCCAUACCUUCAUCAUCAUCAUCUUCAGAGCUUCUACAGUCAGCCAUGCAUGCCCUACUACAGUAGACAGCCUGUACACAUUGCAGUAAGGUAAGGUGUUACCAUGGCCCACAAGGUGACAGUUUCUAGUGAAAAGAGUUAGUCAAGAACCAUGGUAACAGGUCAGUACAGUUCACAUUGUUCAGUAACACUUCAUUUUACAGUCCUCCUUCAGACAGUAUUUACCUAGUAUUUACUAAGACGUAAUGGCAACAAUAUGUACUUUCUGGUACCUAUACAAUGGGUAACUGCCAAAAUGAUUGUUUCUAUGAUCCCAAAGAAACCUGUUUUAGGAAAAUACCAUGUCAAUAGAGGACUGUAGGAUAAAGUUUAACCCAUUGUUCUCCUGUCCUCCCAGAUACACUGGGUUUGUAUGUAGAACCUAAACCCAAGGUUUAUUUAGGGUUGUCUAUAUGUUCAGAUACACUUGGUUUGUUCAGUUACUUAAACUUAAGACAUGUACAGUAUGUUGCUGUGUGUAUUGUCAGUACACACACACACACACACACACACACACACACACACACACACACACACACACACACAGAGUGAUUCUAGUUCUAGUGUGUACGGUAAAAUACACAGAAGAGUUUGGCAUGUAGAGUCUGUAUGUAGUCCCAUUCCAUCCGAUUCCAGGAGAGAGGAAGUAGUCUGUGGUAUGUAGUCCCAUUCCAUCCGAUUCCAAGAGAGAGGAAGUAGAGUCUGUGGUAUGUAGUCCCAUUCCAUCUGAUUCCAGGAGAGAGGAAGUAGAGUCUGUGGUAUGUAGUCCCAUUCCAUCCGAUUCCAGGAGAGAGGAUGUAGAGUCUGUGGUAUGUAGUCCCAUUCCAUCUGAUUCCAGGAGAGAGGCAGUAGAGUCUGUGGUAUGUAGUCCCAUUCCAUCUGAUUCCAGGAGAGAGGAAGUAGAGUCUGUGGUAUGCAGUCCCAUUCCAUCUGAUUCCAGGAGAGAGGAAGUAGAGUCUGUGGUAUGUAGUCCCAUUCCAUCCGAUUCCAGGAGAGAGGAAGUAGAGUCUGUGGUAUGUAGUCCCAUUCCAUCCGAUUCCAGGAGAGAGGCAGUAGAGUCUGUGGUAUGUAGUCCCAUUCCAUCCGAUUCCAGGAGAGAGGAAGUAGAGUCUGUGGUAUGUAGUCCCAUUCCAUCCGAUUCCAGGAGAGAGGAAGUAGAGUCUGUGGUAUGUAGUCCCAUUCCAUCCGAUUCCAGGAGAGAGGAAGUAGUCUGUGGUAUGUAGUCCCAUUCCAUCUGAUUCCAGGAGAGAGGAAGUAGAGUCUGUGGUAUGUAGUCCCAUUCCAUCUGAUUCCAGGAGAGAGGAAGUAGUCUUUGGUAUGUAGUCCCAUUCCAUCUGAUUCCAGGAGAGAGGAAAGAGUCUGUGGUAUGUAGUCCCAUUCCAUCUGAUUCCAGGAGAGAGUCUGUGGUAUGUAGUCCCAUUCCAUCUGAUUCCAGGAGAGAGGAAGUAGAGUCUGUGGUAUGUAGUCCCAUUCCAUCUGAUUCCAGGAGAGAGUCUGUGGUAUGUAGUCCCAUUCCAUCUGAUUCCAGGAGAGAGUCUGUGGUAUGUAGUCCCAUUCCAUCCGAAUCCAGGAGAGAGGAAGUAGAGUCUGUGGUAUGUAGUCCCAUUCCAUCUGAUUCCAGGAGAGAGUCUGUGGUAUGUAGUCCCAUUCCAUCUGAUUCCAGGAGAGAGGAAGUAGAGUCUGUGGUAUGUAGUCCCAUUCCAUCUGAUUCCAGGAGAGAGUCUGUGGUAUGUAGUCCCAUUCCAUCUGAUUCCAGGAGAGAGGAAGUAGAGUCUGUGGUAUGUAGUCCCAUUCCAUCUGAUUCCAGGAGAGAGUCUGUGGUAUGUAGUCCCAUUCCAUCUGAUUCCAGGAGAGAGUCUGUGGUAUGUAGUCCCAUUCCAUCUGAUUCCAGGAGAGAGGAAGUAGAGUCUGUGGUAUGUAGUCCCAUUCCAUCCGAUUCCAGGAGAGAGGAAGUAGAGUCUGUGGUAUGUAGUCCCAUUCCAUCCGAUUCCAGGAGAGAGGAAGUAGUCUUUGGUAUGUAGUCCCAUUCCAUCCGAUUCCAGGAGAGAGGAUGUAGAGUCUGUGGUAUGUAGUCCCAUUCCAUCCGAUUCCAGGAGAGAGGAAGAGAGGUCCUCAGUGUACAAUCCAAUACAAUGCAUUCGAUGACAGUAUUGCUGUGUGCUUUUCUGACCUCUGAGAUCAGAGAUAAUGCUAUCCAGGAAUGAAUGAAUAAAGGACAAACAUGUCUCUAGGGGGUUUAAUGAUGAGCCAGAGGUUGUAUCAAUGUGUAUAACAAUGUAUACAACCACUGACCUGGAACCUAUAGCUGUCAUUGUAUUGACACAUAUUACUACUCUGAUACAGCACUGUAGCGCCCUCUCCCUCUCUCACAUUAGACUGGGUGGUCCCACUUCCCAGUUCAGAAACCGGGAUCCAGACUGGCUUUUCAUACCAGGCUGCUACGGUCCAGAUCAGACCAGAUCACAUGGGUGGAGGACCACUAGAUCCAGUUCCACAGAAGGGAUCCAGACUAGAUCUGGUUGAAUCCAGUUGACAGAACAAAAAGGCAAUAAUUGAGUUCAUUUCAGUCAAGUUCAAUCAGUUCAGUCUCCGGUGCAAGAAACAGGCAACUAGCCCUAAGAAGAGAAUUGUGUCAGCCAAUCAGAUUGCAUGAAAAAGUGUCACUGUGUUUCAUUGCGAUCAGCUGCUCCAAUAGAAAGUCAGGUCCUCUUCUCCUCUGUAAUAAAUGCUGUAUGCAGUGUGCAUGUUUCAACAGGCUACCUCCACCACAUGUUGAGACACACACACUCUGAAACAUACCUACACAUGCAGGCCCAAUGUCCAAAGUCAUAAAAGGUCUUCUCUUCAUGCUCUGUGUGAAUGUCGUCUUCUAAGCAACACACACACACACACACACACACACACACACACACACACACACACACACACACACACACACACACACACCCCUUGUCAACCAAUGUCAUUCAGAAGGUCUUCUAACUCCCUAUUUUCCAUGUUCCCUUAAUCUCCUGUCCCCUUUCCCCCAAAUCCUCAGUCCUCGUCAUCCUUCACCCCUCCUGCCCAAGCCCACCCAUGGCUGGUUGGUAUGGCGACACUGAUGGGAUGGCCGUUGCUAGGAGAUGGUGAUGGCAGCGAGAAGGAGCGUCGCUAUGGUGAUGAGUAGGCGAUCCCUGGAUGGGCUGCUUCCACUGACACUCUUCUCCAGUUUAGGAAUCUCAGGGUUAAAAUCAUCUACAUGGAGAGAGACAGAGAGAC